This 253-nucleotide ribosomal RNA is filed under the name uncultured bacterium. RNAcentral's name for it is "partial 16S ribosomal RNA". It matches the Rfam family "Bacterial small subunit ribosomal RNA", at positions 524 to 776 of the family's 1533-position model. The record is from RNAcentral.
UACGGAGGGGGUUAGCGUUGUUCGGAAUGACUGGGCGUAAAGCGCGCGUAGGCGGAUCAUCAAGUCGGGGGUGAAAUCCCGGGGCUCAACCCCGGAAUGGCCUUCGAGACUGGUGGUCUUGAGUUCGAGAGAGGUGAGUGGAAUUCCGAGUGUAGAGGUGAAAUUCGUAGAUAUUCGGAGGAACACCAGUGGCGAAGGCGGCUCACUGGCUCGACACUGACGCUCAUGCACGAAAGCGUGGGGAGCAAACCGG